ACAAGCGGUGGAUGAUGUGGUUUAAUUCGAUGCAACGCGAAAAACCUUACCCACCUUUGACAUGUACGGAAGUUACCAGAGAUGGUUUCGUGCUCGAAAGAGAACCGUAACACAGGUGCUGCAUGGCUGUCGUCAGCUCGUGUCGUGAGAUGUUGGGUUAAGUCCCGCAACGAGCGCAACCCUUGUCAUUAGUUGCUACAUUUAGUUGGGCACUCUAAUGAGACUGCCGGUGAUAAACCGGAGGAAGGUGGGGAUGACGUCAAGUCCUCAUGGCCCUUAUAGGUGGGGCUACACACGUCAUACAAUGGCUGGUACAGAGGGUUGCCAACCCGCGAGGGGGAGCUAAUCCCAUAAAGCCAGUCGUAGUCCGGAUCGCAGUCUGCAACUCGACUGCGUGAAGUCGGAAUCGCUAGUAAUCGCGGAUCAGAAUGUCGCGGUGAAUACGUUCCCGGGUCUUGUACACACCGCCCGUCACACCACGGGAGCGGGUUCUGCCAGAAGUAGGUAGCCUAACCGUAAGGAGGGCGCUUACCACGGCAGGGUUCGUGACUGGGGUGAAGUCGUAACAAGGUAGCCGUAUCGGAAGGUGCGGCUGGAUCACCUCCUU
Molecule: ribosomal RNA, 607 nt
Filed under: uncultured bacterium
Lineage: Bacteria
Description: bacterial SSU rRNA
Rfam family: Bacterial small subunit ribosomal RNA
Source: RNAcentral